This 427-nucleotide ribosomal RNA is filed under the name uncultured Comamonadaceae bacterium. RNAcentral describes it as "bacterial SSU rRNA". It matches the Rfam family "Bacterial small subunit ribosomal RNA", at positions 355 to 774 of the family's 1533-position model. The record is from RNAcentral. Lineage: Bacteria; Pseudomonadati; Pseudomonadota; Betaproteobacteria; Burkholderiales; Comamonadaceae.
UGGGGAAUUUUGGACAAUGGGCGCAAGCCUGAUCCAGCAAUGCCGCGUGCAGGAUGAAGGCCUUCGGGUUGUAAACUGCUUUUGUACGGAACGAAACGGUCUGCCCUAAUACGGUGGGCUAAUGACGGUACCGUAAGAAUAAGCACCGGCUAACUACGUGCCAGCAGCCGCGGUAAUACGUAGGGUGCGAGCGUUAAUCGGAAUUACUGGGCGUAAAGCGUGCGCAGGCGGGUAUGUAAGACAGAUGUGAAAUCCCCGGGCUCAACCUGGGACCUGCAUUUGUGACUGCAUAGCUAGAGUACGGUAGAGGGGGAUGGAAUUCCGCGUGUAGCAGUGAAAUGCGUAGAUAUGCGGAGGAACACCGAUGGCGAAGGCAAUCCCCUGGACCUGUACUGACGCUCAUGCACGAAAGCGUGGGGAGCAAACA